AAGAGGACAAGUUAGGCCAGACGAAGAAGUGUGGAUGUGUCAGGUUGAGGGUUGGGUCGAAGGUCAAGGAAAUGUUGGAGUGCACGCAGCCCCUCGUAGUGAGGGAUUUCCGUGUAUAAACUCUUGAUUUCAAGAGUGAAGAGAAGUUUAGAGGGGCCAAGAGGGAAGAAGAAAGAGUUGAACAAACGAAGAGCAUGGUUGGUACACAAUCCUUUAUU
Molecule: long non-coding RNA, 218 nt
Organism: Octopus sinensis (East Asian common octopus)
Lineage: Eukaryota; Metazoa; Mollusca; Cephalopoda; Octopoda; Octopodidae
Exons: 3
Source: RefSeq, a predicted model, not a curated record